Planococcus citri (citrus mealybug) is the source of this 443-nucleotide long non-coding RNA. RefSeq lists it as uncharacterized. The record is from RefSeq and is a predicted model, not a curated record. The transcript is spliced from 2 exons. NCBI's taxonomy places the organism in Eukaryota, Metazoa, Arthropoda, Insecta, Hemiptera, Pseudococcidae.
CGUUCGAGAUGCGAAUUAUUUCCAAGCUUAUUCAUCGCAUAAUGUGCCAGGUGCUUCGUAGGCCUAAAAUUUCGAAUGUUUCGUCACUCGUAUACACUGAAGAUGAAUCAGAUUCCGUUGACGUAACAGACUAUCCAGAAAAUGUACCGGAGCUCGAGUCAAAUACGUUGAACUGCAGGUGUCUCAGCGUUGUUGCAUCCCAAUCAUCGUUAACUUCGAACAUCAAACCUAACCUCAGAUGUAUUUCGUUCGCUGUAACGUAGCUCGGUUCUAAAUGCAAUACUCGUUGAAAUGAUUUCAGGGCCCUGUAACAUGAAAAAAAAUUAAUUAAUCGAUAAUAUUGUAACUAGAUCUAUACUCCUAACUCCUAACGAUAUUAUUAUCAUCAAUGAACGAAUUCUCGAUUACUCAUCGACCAAUAAAUUAAAUUACGGAUACGAUCA